AUGAGGUAAAUGACUCACCCGAAACCCCUUUACUUUACUAUAAAACUACUUAAUACUUUUCAUGAGUUGUUUUUAAAUUAGUUAGUAAGAAAUUAAAAAAUAAAAAUAAAAAUCAUGCUUCUUUUUUAUUUUGAAAAAAAAAUUAAAAAUUUGAGCAUGACAAUUGCAUGUUAACUCCUAGCACUAAGCAUGAAAAGUUAGAUUCAUUUAAAAAAAAAAGUAUUAC
RNAcentral lists this long non-coding RNA (226 nucleotides) under Musa acuminata (dwarf banana). Its description in RNAcentral is "long non-coding RNA (MACU_LNC010350)". The record is from RNAcentral. Lineage: Eukaryota; Viridiplantae; Streptophyta; Magnoliopsida; Zingiberales; Musaceae.